RNAcentral lists this transfer-messenger RNA (336 nucleotides) under Nanobdellota archaeon. It matches the Rfam family "transfer-messenger RNA". From Rfam's summary of the family: Bacterial tmRNA, also known as 10Sa RNA or SsrA, is named for its dual tRNA and mRNA-like properties. The record is from RNAcentral. Lineage: Archaea; Nanobdellati; Nanobdellota.
GGGGACGAAGGGCUUCGACGGGAAUAUCCUCUUAUACACUGCAAGCCGAGUGGGCGACCUCGUAAAACACGCCAAACCUAUAACUGCAAACCAAAGAGUUGCGGCACCAGCAUUCGCUUACGCGUAACUGGUGAACUCUCUUCCUUAACGAAGAGGGCAUCGGUCCCGACGCUUCAUAGGGAUACGCCGGUGUAAUACCUGAAGCUCGCCGCGGCAAGCCGACUCCGUACCUGCGGCUAAAAAAGGAGUCAGCACCGUUUCUUCUAAAGAACUAAGCUUGUAGAAAGUGUAUGGGAAGCUUCUCGGAUGCGAGUUCAACUCUCGCCGUCUCCACAC